UUUCCCAGACUUCUUGAAUUACCAUUGCAUAAUCCACCAACAAGCGUUAUGCGCUAAAAUGCUCAACAUGAAAGAGAUCAUGGAUGUGGCAACGAAGAUCGCCUGUUCUAUUCGAGCCAGAUCUCUUCAAAGACGGUUAUUCCGUGCACAUCUGGAGAAGGCUGACUGCGACCACUCUGAGUUGUUGCUACACACUGACGUGAGAUGGCUUAGUCGAGGGAAAUUCCUGCAAAGAUUUUGAGAGCUCUGUCCGGAGAUUAAGGAGUUUUUCCGUGUAGCUGGACAUGCAGAAUACAAGCAACUAAAUGACGGUCAGUGGCUGUUAGACUUGGCAUUUUUAACCGAUCUGACAAACAUGUUGAAUGACCUUAAUCUAGAGCUGCAAGGAAAAGACAAAACAGUGAUCAAUAUGAUCAGCUCAGUUAAUGCUUUCAAACGAAAGAUGCAACAUCUCUCCUCAAAGCUGCAGCGCCAUGAUUUGGCAAACUUCCAGAACCUGGCGUCAGAGCUGGAGAUGCAAGGGAAGGCAUGUGUGCAACUUGACAGUGCACGCUACACAGAGCAGAUUGACAAUUGUCGGUCAGAGUUUGACAAACGCUUUCAAGACUUUUCUUUGCUCGAGCCAGUCGCUACAUUCAUGUGCUAUCCUUUUCGGGAAGAUGCUGAGGUUGAUUCACUGGCAUCAAAAAUUGCAACACUGUUUCACCUGAACUCUUCUGGAGUGGAAGAUGAGAUUUUGACACUACAAGCCGACAUUGAGCUGAAGUCCAGAGCUCAUGGACAGUUCUGGAACUUACUCACAGAGGUAAAGUACCCCAACAUGAGGAAAUGUGCUACCUCCUUGACUGCAUUAUUCGGCUCCACUUAUUUAUGUGAGUCAGCCUUUUCCCACAUGAAGAUCAUUAAGUCCAAGUACCGUUCCACCAUGACUGAUGAACAUUUGGAAGUGUGCUUGAGGCUGGCUGUCAGCAGCUACUGUCCGGACUAUGUAUCCCUGGCUGAUUCAAUUCAGUGCAAGUCAUCAGAGUAAACUCAGGUAAUGACAAAAAAUGUACAUCGUUAAUUAUGUUGUGUUGUGCAAUAUUGGCUCACGCGGUUAUGCAAGGUACAUCAACAUACAUUGUACAUAUAAAGAAUCCUCAAUAUAUUUGUAAAUAAAUAUAUGUUUUGCAUUUUUGUAGUGGGUAGAUCAUUUUGACUUGGUCAUUUUAUAAGUAGCUCACAUGCUGAAAAAGUGUGAGCACCCCUGGUCUAGAGUGUGGCCCUUGGAGUGUGUGGGGAAGUGUACAUGUUGAGUAAAGUUGAAACAGUCCAAGACUACACUGAGGACAGAGGCAGGUGUAAAAUGAGUGGAGUCGACACGGAUGUUGAAGUCGCCCAGUGGCACUAGACGGGAAGUCAGGGAACAGGCAGAUGAGAGUAGUUCAGUUAAUUCAGACAGAAAAUUUUUUAUGUUACAUUACAUUACAUUACAGGCAUUUGGCAGACACUCUUAUCCAGAGCGAUGUACAACAAAGUGUAUAACCAGACCCAGGAACAAGUGUAUCGAAAACCCUAGAGAGAAGUACCGUUCCAAGUGCAGGGAACAACUGCCUAGUUUAACUUGGACCCUGUAGGUUAAACUGAUUAACAUUAACACAAACAAGAACAGCAACAACGCAGUCUAUGCAAAAAUACAAGCAGUAAUUUAGACACGGGUGCAUUAACUAAGUCACCUACAAAACAGCUACCUAGUUUCAACCCUAAGCUUACAGUCAAUUUAGAGAUUAAAUCAAGCAAUAUGCGAGAAUAUGUAAGUAACUACGCUUAAAGCUGUGGUUUGUAGCCUACGUUAGUUUAAAGAAAAGAAGUCCAUGAAAGUAUGCGAAGUCUUAACAAGCCGAUAGGGCGGCGAUUUUAAAUCUAUAAAAGCAAGCAAGUAAGCUUGCUAUGAUACAACGUAAAUGGGUAUAAAAGCAACGAUUUGCAAGAGUUGAAAACAAGGAAAAGCUAUAUUAAGUUUUGUGAAGUUUUAAAGUGUUAUAAGAGUUUUUUAAGACAGCUAAAGUAGAAUAAGUACACGCAUUAGUCACUUAGCCGAUUUCCUGCGACAAGGUUCUGAUAGCCUACAGACAUCAGACUAUUUGUUAAACAAAGCAACUCUAUGUUUAUGUAUCAAUCCCUAUCUAAAUAAAUAGCCUAUUAAAUAAAUAAUUCUUAUUUCCAUAAGUCAUCAAAAUAAUAUGUCAAAGCAAUGUUGUGGGACAACGGUCUCUUUGAAUUACGCAAAAUUAACUGCAAAAAGCCAGAAACUUGUUGGUGUGGGGUGUCGGGAUGCAGAGUUACAAAUUAACCAUAUCCACAGGGUAUAAAUUAGGUCAGCCACCCCCAUCAAGACGGCAUUAUAACUGGUUGAUGCCACUGAAAAGCCAUGAUCUAUGGUCAGGAAACGCUUGAAGAACUGGGCAGCCUAUCAGGUAUGUAACUUGCUAGGCCUAUAGUUUAAUUUUGCAUCUAUAACUAUAUGUAUAAGAAAAUUAUUUAGAUGUCUUAAUUUAUUUAACAGAUUUAGAAGAGUUCCUGCCCUCGACAGACACACCCGAUUUGACGCUUCAUGUGUUUGACCUGUCAAACUUUCAGCUUGCGUACAGCCAAGAAGGGUCUAUUCUUCAGACUGUUUAUCAAUUCUCUCUCUCUCUCUGUGGGUCUGUGUGUAUACUUUUAAAAUGUUUAUUUACUUAUUUAUCUGCUUUCAGCCAACAAUCAGACAGAAUGUACACCCGUAGUCGCGGAGUUGGAACGGUCAACGCAAUUGGUAGAAGAACAAGUUCAUGCAUGAAAUAUACAACUUUCUACAGAGUAUGAAAAUGACUUUAAAAUUUACGUUCACUUUUUAACAUUUAUUUUUCAGUCAUCUGAGUUGUGUUAUUUAUUUUUAAAAGCCCCUGAAAGUCAACCAGAAGGGAUCACUGAGGCACCGACUUCUUCGACGGAUACCGUUUCGGUACACUUUCCAAGUCUGAAGAGAAAACGCGAGGAUAGAAUUUCAGACAGCGAUACGGAUUUUCUAGAUGUGGAAUUGGAUCGAGAAGCGCUGCUUCAACCUCCAGAGGUUGUCCAAGAAACCGAAAAAUCAGAACUGUGUAUGCAAAUUUUGUUGCUGUUGAACCGUGAGUUGGCUGCUUCCAGACGAUGUUUGAAUAUUUUAGAAAAAAUAUUAAAUGGCACCGAAACGCCCGCGAGAUACACGCUCUGAAUCUCAGAGUAAUAAAAGACCAAAUGAUGUUGAAUGCUAAUCAUGAUACUAACCAUGACACUAACAGUUGAAACUUGCAACAGCAGCAAGCAGCGGUUUACCCUAACCUGUUACACUUUAUUACUGAUCUUAAUCGAGGCACAAUUAAUACACAUGCAGAGGUCGAACCUGUAGAGCAUGGGGGUGAUGAUGUGUUUGGGUGGCUGCUACGCGCUUUGGACGCUGUAAACCAUGCGAUAAGUAGUCACGUAGAACCAGAGAUAAGACCUAACAUUGUCGACAAACGUGCAUGCGGCUACAGAUACUACUAAUGAUGACCAAAAUGGUGGGGGCCUUAACGAUACAGAUAUGCAGGUGAUACGCAGACCACGUUUCAACAAUAAUUAGGUUACGGUUUAACUUUGCAUCUUUGUACGAUGUGGACAACAUUUUAUGUUCAUGUUUUAAACACCCUAGAACAUUUAAUGAACAAAGUUCAUGAUCUGGCGGCCCCAGAUGAUGCUGUACAGUUAGAGUUGUGGGAGGAUUCCCUGUCUGGGGGUGUAACUGUGCAGUUAACCGGGGACCAAGGCCAACAUAUAGCAAAUUUCAUAUGCUGUAUUGAUUUUAAUGGCGAGCGUUGGGUGGCGUCUGGCGAUAAAUGCGUAGAGAAUUUUACCAAAGGUAUCGGACUGCAAAGUACAAGGGCUACACAUUCAUUGCACACAAUUCAAAGGGGUACGACGGCUAGCAGCUCAUGCAGUAUUUAAUUGAACAAGGUGUAACACCGCAUCUAAUUGUACAGGGCAGUAAACUCUUGUGCAUUACUGACGAGGCUUUUGACCAGAGGUAUGUUGACUCCUUUUGUUUUCUAACAACUGAGUGCAAUGCUGGCUGCUCUAGGUUUUAAAAAUUCAAAAAAAGGCUACUUUCUCCAUUUCUGGAAUACAAUCGGUAACCAGAAUUACAUUGGCCUGUAUCCACCACCCUUGUACUAUGGGGUUGAUACAAUGAUGGAAAAGGAGAGGGAUGAAUUUAUGCGGUGGUACCCCUCUUGGGUGUCUAAUGACACUGACAAGGUGGAAUAUGUCCAAAGUUACUGGGAGAAGGAGGGCAUCCGCUUA
Molecule: long non-coding RNA, 4338 nt
Organism: Anguilla rostrata (American eel)
Lineage: Eukaryota; Metazoa; Chordata; Actinopteri; Anguilliformes; Anguillidae
Exons: 2
Source: RefSeq, a predicted model, not a curated record